GACAGAGGUGCCGAGCGUUAGGCGGAAUCACUGGGCUUAAAGCGUGUGUAGGCGGAUCGUUAAGUACCUUGUGAAAUCCCCCGGCUCAACCGGGGAACUGCUGGGUAUACUGGCGAUCUUGAGCGAUCUAGGGGCAGAUGGAACAAGUGGUGGAGCGGUGAAAUGCGUAGAUAUCGGGAAGAACACCCGUGGCGAAGGCGGCUCUCUGGGACGGUACUGACGCUGAGACGCGAAAGCGUGGGGAGCGAACAGG
This 253-nucleotide ribosomal RNA is filed under the name uncultured bacterium. RNAcentral's name for it is "partial 16S ribosomal RNA". It matches the Rfam family "Bacterial small subunit ribosomal RNA", at positions 524 to 776 of the family's 1533-position model. The record is from RNAcentral.